Molecule: long non-coding RNA, 441 nt
Organism: Acanthaster planci (crown-of-thorns starfish)
Lineage: Eukaryota; Metazoa; Echinodermata; Asteroidea; Valvatida; Acanthasteridae
Source: RefSeq, a predicted model, not a curated record
UCAAAGUCACACGUGCCUCCAAAUCCAUUCAAAGUUGCCCAAAAUCACGUCCUUAAUAUACGGUUAGGCCUGCGUUUAGGAUUUGAAAAAUCAAUCUGCUGCUGCGACAGAUGUAACUGAACAUGCUGAUGAAGGUGGAGUUGGAGUUAACAGGGCCCCGAUAAAUCCACUGGGAAAAGAACUGCACUGUAAAGCGUCCCAAAAUUUCAUGAUCACCUAGCUGGAGUCAACUUGCUGCCGUUGCAGAGAGGAGAGUUCCCAGUGGCAAGCUCAUAAAACAAGGACGACGUGUGCUUCAACGUGUACAGCUGCAACAUUAGCACCAACAUUGGUCAAAGUCUGUUGCAGGACAGUUGCGCUUCUCAUCGGUCUGCCAGCACACCUUACUUGCCACUAUGAGUGGAAACAUCCACGCGGAAUACACUGCAACAAGGAGAGCUG